Solanum stenotomum is the source of this 428-nucleotide long non-coding RNA. RefSeq lists it as uncharacterized. The record is from RefSeq and is a predicted model, not a curated record. The transcript has 3 exons. Lineage: Eukaryota; Viridiplantae; Streptophyta; Magnoliopsida; Solanales; Solanaceae.
GCUUCCUGCCCAAUCACUAUCCCAUCGGUUGCCCUUGCUUUUCCCUUUUAAACCAAAUACCAUAAUCAAUCGUUCCUUUGAUAUAUCUCAACGUUCAUUUAGCAACACCAAGAUGAACUUGACUUGGAGCUUGCAUAAACCGCGAACAUGAGAUCGGGUCUUAUUGCUGUCAAAUACAGCAAACUACCAAUCAGACUUCUAUAAACAAUUUCUAAACUCCAGAAAGACAUUCAUCUUUUUCUCAAGAUUCUGAAUCUGCUGCUAGCGCUCUUCACAGCCCGUCUUCUUCAGAUUACUCACCCGGAAUUACUCCAAGUCAGGAUGAUUCAGCUGUAAUUAUUCAGAAGAGGAAAUUGGGGAAGAUGGCAAAAAGUUAUGCAUAUAGAAUUCGUGAGCAUGUGAAAUUGGGUUCGAAGUUUUCAGAUAUG